RNAcentral lists this long non-coding RNA (286 nucleotides) under Musa acuminata (dwarf banana). Its description in RNAcentral is "long non-coding RNA (MACU_LNC010215)". The record is from RNAcentral. Lineage: Eukaryota; Viridiplantae; Streptophyta; Magnoliopsida; Zingiberales; Musaceae.
GCCUCUUCAACUCGUAGCAUUGCUCAGUGUCGUGCCCGUGCUACCGAUGAAAUCGGCAAUAUCUUGAUCGGUCUGCGAGCUCCCGCGGGUUCCUCAUCGGGCGAGGGUCCUUGAGCAGCCCCUUCCCCUUCUCGUGCAGGAAUAUUUCAGUCCGGGACGAAUUCAAGGCGGGAAGAGGAGGCCUCGGGUCAGGUCUAUCCAACUUUCGCCGGGAGGCGGUGGGUUGUUGCUGUCGGGGCGGUUCUGUCUUGACCUUUUUGUGUUCCUCCCGUCUUCCAGCCAUCCA